ACUUAGUGGCAGACGGGUGAGUAACAUGUAGGUAUCUACCCUUUGGCCUGGAAUAACACGAGGAAACUUGUGCUAAUACCGGAUAAGUCUUUACGGAGAAAGCUUUAUGCACCAUUGGAUGAGCCUGCACUUGAUUAGUUUGUUGGUGGGGUAAUGGCCUACCAAGACUGUGAUCAAUAGCUGAUUUGAGAGGAUGAUCAGCCACAUUGGGACUGAGACACGGCCCAAACUCCUACGGGAGGCAGCAGUGGGGAAUCUUGCACAAUGGAGGAAACUCUGAUGCAGCGAUGCCGCGUGAGUGAAGAAGGCCCUUGGGUUGUAAAGCUCUUUCGUCGGGGAAGAAAGUGACUGUACCCGAAUAAGAAGGUCCGGCUAACUUCGUGCCAGCAGCCGCGGUAAUACGAAGGGACCUAGCGUAGUUCGGAAUUACUGGGCUUAAAGAGUUCGUAGGUGGUUGAAAAAGUUGGUGGUGAAAUCCCAGAGCUUAACUCUGGAACUGCCAUCAAAACUUUUCAGCUAGAGUAUGAUAGAGGAAAGCAGAAUUUCUAGUGUAGAGGUGAAAUUCGUAGAUAUUAGAAAGAAUACCAACUGCGAAGGCAGCUUUCUGGAUCAUUACUGACACUGAGGAACGAAAGCAUGGGUAGCGAAGAGGAUUAGAUACCCUCGUAGUCCAUGCCGUAAACGAUGUGUGUUAGACGUU
Molecule: ribosomal RNA, 700 nt
Filed under: uncultured bacterium
Lineage: Bacteria
Description: bacterial SSU rRNA
Rfam family: Bacterial small subunit ribosomal RNA
Source: RNAcentral